GAUGAACGCUGGCGGCGUGCCUAAUACAUGCAAGUCGAGCGAACAGAUAAGGAGCUUGCUCCUUUGACGUUAGCGGCGGACGGGUGAGUAACACGUGGGUAACCUACCUAUAAGACUGGGAUAACUUCGGGAAACCGGAGCUAAUACCGGAUAACAUUUGGAACCGCAUGGUUCUAAAGUGAAAGAUGGUUUUGCUAUCACUUAUAGACGGACCCGCGCCGUAUUAGCUAGUUGGUAAGGUAACGGCUUACCAAGGCGACGAUACGUAGCCGACCUGAGAGGGUGAUCGGCCACACUGGAACUGAGACACGGUCCAGACUCCUACGGGAGGCAGCAGUAGGGAAUCUUCCGCAAUAGGCGAAAGCCUGACGGAGCAACGCCGCGUGAGUGAUGAAGGGUUUCGGCUCGUAAAACUCUGUUAUUAGGGAAGAACAAAUGUGUAAGUAACUGUGCACGUCUUGACGGUACCUAAUCAGAAAGCCACGGCUAACUACGUG
RNAcentral lists this ribosomal RNA (497 nucleotides) under uncultured bacterium. Its description in RNAcentral is "partial 16S ribosomal RNA". It matches the Rfam family "Bacterial small subunit ribosomal RNA", at positions 28 to 507 of the family's 1533-position model. The record is from RNAcentral.